This 254-nucleotide ribosomal RNA is filed under the name uncultured bacterium. RNAcentral describes it as "partial 16S ribosomal RNA". It matches the Rfam family "Bacterial small subunit ribosomal RNA", at positions 524 to 776 of the family's 1533-position model. The record is from RNAcentral.
UACGAGGGGGGCGAGCGUUGUCCGGAAUUAUUGGGCGUAAAGAGCUCGUAGGCGGUGUGUCGCGUCGGCCGUGAAAACCUGCAGCUUAACUGUGGGCUUGCGGUCGAUACGGGCAUCACUGGAGUUCGGCAGGGGAGACUGGAAUUCCUGGUGUAGCGGUGAAAUGCGCAGAUAUCAGGAGGAACACCGGUGGCGAAGGCGGGUCUCUGGGCCGAUACUGACGCUGAGGAGCGAAAGCGUGGGGAGCGAACAGG